Molecule: ribosomal RNA, 464 nt
Filed under: uncultured bacterium
Lineage: Bacteria
Description: partial 16S ribosomal RNA
Rfam family: Bacterial small subunit ribosomal RNA
Source: RNAcentral
GACGAACGCUGGCGGCGUGCUUAACACAUGCAAGUCGAACGGUAAGGCCCCUUCGGGGUACACGAGUGGCGAACGGGUGAGUAACACGUGAGCAACCUGCCCUUGACUCUGGAAUAACAGUUGGAAACAGCUGCUAAUACUGGAUAUUCAUCGUCUCCUUCCUGGGGGGUGGUGGAAAGCUCCGGCGGUCAGGGAUGGGCUCGCGGCCUAUCAGCUUGUUGGUGAGGUAAUGGCUCACCAAGGCUUCGACGGGUAGCCGGCCUGAGAGGGCGACCGGCCACACUGGGACUGAGAUACGGCCCAGACUCCUACGGGAGGCAGCAGUGGGGAAUAUUGCACAAUGGGCGCAAGCCUGAUGCAGCAACGCCGCGUGCGGGAUGACGGCCUUCGGGUUGUAAACCGCUUUCAGUAGGGACGAAGGGUGACUGACGGUACCUACAGAAGAAGGACCGGCUAACUACGUG